UUUGUUGGAAUAUCCAUACUUGCUUGAAGAAACAAACUUAUUACCGUCACCUUAAUAACCUUGUUCAGUGACUCUACAAAUUAAACGUUAAACAAGAAACAACGUGUGACAUUUUGUUUCCUCGAAAUUAAAAAUAUCACCCAAGGUAAGGACCUUUAUAAAAGAAAUUUUACCAUAUUUGCUGAGAGAAAAUGAACAAAAAAUGCCUGAACUCAAGGAGAAAUAUCCUGCCAAAAACGUAGCUCCCAUUUAGACCAUUUAAAAUUCAUGGAGAUCAGUGCAAGUCGAUGCCUGCCUCGGAGCAGAUAAAAAUCAAUUCAAAUGUAUGUUUGUUUUGGUUAGGGCAAAAUUACAAAUGUAUCUAAUUUGUAAAAGCAUUUUACGUAAACUGUAGGGAAAAAUGUGCGUUUCUGAAAGAUUGUAAAGUUUGAUCAGUCAUUUCUUGAUAAGAACUCCAUAGGAUCAACUUGACUGAAUCCACAACCCAUUCAUUGCAGAAUGGUAAAUAUUUUCAAUGCUCAAGACUUUCGUUUCACUGAUGUAAAUGAAUCUUUAAAGGGGUAUUGACUAAUAUUACCGAAAGUGUAAGGUCGUCAACUUUUUGUAUUCACCUCCAGGUCCAGGCGGGGGCAAUACAGGUCCGAUCUGUCUUCCAGACACCAACAUCGGAUGUGACUCCUCUGAAAUAUGCGAUCCAGAUUAUGGGUGUGUUCCACUUUAGUUUGGGAGCGGAUAUUAGGGAUAACUCAACGUGCGUGUUUGCACCCUGCGUAGUGACUUCAGAUCAGUCAGCGGUUUGGGUUUUUCUUGCAUGUUUCUAGCAUCAUGUUUAUUUGAAACGAAUUUAUACCAAGACAUUUUAGAGUUAGGUGAUGGGAGGUAAACAUAAAAAUUAGAAUAAAUGAUGCAGAUAAAUGCGGAAUAUCAAGGAAAUAUUUGACCUGUUUAUUAGUUUUUGGAAACUUUUGGAUUCUGUUGCGCCGUCCACAGUCAAAUCAUGGACUGUGAGAAGUAAAAAGCCGUGGUACAAUCUGAAAAUCCAUAAUGCUUGGCGUGUAAGACGCAGAGCUGAACGCAAAUGACUUAAAACAGGAUCAUCCGGAGAUUGGAGAAAUUCAGAAGAUAUCAGGCUAGGAUUAAAUACUACAAUGAAAAUUCCUCUUCCUGUAACACAAA
Acanthaster planci (crown-of-thorns starfish) is the source of this 1176-nucleotide long non-coding RNA. RefSeq lists it as uncharacterized. The record is from RefSeq and is a predicted model, not a curated record. Lineage: Eukaryota; Metazoa; Echinodermata; Asteroidea; Valvatida; Acanthasteridae.